GCAGAAAUAGCAUAAAUAAUUAAUUAAACAUAAGAACCAUAAAUAAAACAGUAUGCAAUGAUAUCAAACAGUAACUGUCACAAAUAACCACCAUAAGGGAGACACAAUCCAAUACACAAAUUAUCUAUGGGUAGCCCUGCCAAGACUCACCCAACCUCGGAUGAGGAGUACGAAAAACUCUAGGAGCCCCUAUCCUACAACCCUGAUACUAG
Molecule: long non-coding RNA, 212 nt
Filed under: Nicotiana benthamiana
Lineage: Eukaryota; Viridiplantae; Streptophyta; Magnoliopsida; Solanales; Solanaceae
Description: long non-coding RNA (NBEN_LNC018419)
Source: RNAcentral